RNAcentral lists this ribosomal RNA (425 nucleotides) under uncultured bacterium. Its description in RNAcentral is "partial 16S ribosomal RNA". It matches the Rfam family "Bacterial small subunit ribosomal RNA", at positions 354 to 796 of the family's 1533-position model. The record is from RNAcentral.
GUGGGGAAUAUUGCACAAUGGGGGAAACCCUGAUGCAGCGACGCCGCGUGAGUGAAGAAGUAUUUCGGUACGUAAAGCUCUAUCAGCAAGGAAGAAAAUGACGGUACUUGACUAAGAAGCCCCGGCUAACUACGUGCCAGCAGCCGCGGUAAUACGUAGGGGGCAAGCGUGAUCCGGAUUUACUGGGUGUAAAGGGAGCGUAGACGGUAUGGUAAGUCAGAUGUGAAAGCCCGGGGCUCAACCCCGGGACUGCAUUUGAAACUAUCAGACUAGAGUGCAGGAGAGGUAAGGGGAAUUCCUAGUGUAGCGGUGAAAUGCGUAGAUAUUAGGAGGAACACCAGUGGCGAAGGCGGCUUACUGGACUGUAACUGACGUUGAGGCUCGAAAGCGUGGGGAGCAAACAGGAUUAGAAACCCCAGUAGUCC